Lytechinus pictus (painted urchin) is the source of this 952-nucleotide long non-coding RNA. RefSeq lists it as uncharacterized. The record is from RefSeq and is a predicted model, not a curated record. Lineage: Eukaryota; Metazoa; Echinodermata; Echinoidea; Temnopleuroida; Toxopneustidae. The transcript is spliced from 3 exons.
UGUGGCGUCGCGCAAAAACCAGACUAUUGGUGAGAGACAAUAAAUGCGCUAGGACGUCAUUUAAAUACGCGUGUCAUCAAACUUUUGUCUGGCGCGCGUCGCGAGGAAAAACAAAACAAACAACCCGCGGGGAAAAAAAAAUGUCAGGCGCAUUUUUAUUUUUCAGAACUGUGGAUAUCGGCUCGAUAUAUUUGGUGGCGGGUUCGGAUACAUGUUGAUUGAAUUUAAUUCCCUUGGCUGAAAUCCAUGAAGGCACGGGAUCUACAGAGCAACUGUAUUAGUGCAGUGAGAACAAGACAUCUCAGAACCAACAUACAGCUGACUGCAGCCCUUCAAGAAGUACUUUAAGACUCUGAUAUGGGAUUCACCAUUACCACAGCUUCAGAUUUGAGUCAUUGGAACGUGGCAUUUUUAAGACUGGAACAUGAAGAAAGCAAACAAUGCAGAGGAAGAAAAUUAUCCCCUUUGGUGAACCCUGCUGACAUAGUCUCUCAGAUACUCCCUGAUAAGCUAUCAACUGGAUUUUCCAAAUAGAGGGAAUGUGAUAUAUGGAAAGAUCUUAGAUGAGGACAAGGCACCUCGCGGCCUCCGCGGCCUCCCCGGUAGGAGAGGAAAUUGAAUAAUGAAUACAUGUUUUACUUUGAAUGAACAAACUCUGAAGUUUUUCGAUAAAAAAAUUAAACUUAAUUUGUAACGUUUGCUAACCAAUUAGAAGGAUGUCAUUGUAGAAAAUUGAAAUGUGGUAAGUUUGCUGCUGUAUUAAGAAGUUUGUGAUAAUGUUAAACACACACACUAGGGAGAGAUUAUCGUGUUUUAUAUAAUUUUUAGUGCAAAUUUGGACAGUGGAGAGCGAUGCACAUUCCUGAGUUUUGCUAAUACUGCUGCAUAGAAGAGAGUAAAUGUAUGUAGUCUCUUCCAUAUCAAGAAUUAAACUCUGAUAUUAUUUUUUUAU